CUGGAGUCUCGGAGUGAUAGAACAGGAGGUGAAGAGGUAAAAGUGGUACCCAUACCCUUGUACCUAAGGGGACCCCCAAAGACGUCUGCUUCAUAGGAAGUCACCAGUAAGGCUAUGUUCACACGAUGGAUCCAGGGAAUCUGGACUUGCUACCACAACAUAACACCCAAGCAUCUCAACCUACCUGAGCUCUCCAUAAUUCAUCUCCUUCAUGAGCUACACGCCAAUGAGUGUCCCCCAUCAUGGCAAUAAGAAGGUUCAACAUUAGAAGUGCAGCCACGAUAGCAAAGGCCGAAUACAUCAAGCUAAACAUGAAUGGACGGUGGACAAGGGUUGCUCAGUCUAUAACAAGUAAGGAGACAGCUAUAGUUUUUCUACACGCAACAGCCGGUAAUGGCGAGAAUACAAGGAGACAACUGAGGAUGACACUGUAAAAGAUGCUUCAUCUGAGACCUGCUGAAAAACAGUGUCACAUUCAUCUGCUUACAUACUGGAACCGCCGCCAGGAUCGGACAAUUUUUUUUUUAUUGCUUUUGCCAAAGUUUAACAGUUUAUUUACAUUUAAGAUUCAGCCAAACAAAUCACCGUAUAAAGAUGUUUUAUAUCUAUAUAUAUAUAUAAAUGUCAUCUCAGCGGUAGGAUUGUAAUAUGGAGGCUAUGACUGGCGGGAUCUGGUUUGGAGACGACUCACUUGAAAUAGUUUUUGUUUUGAAGGUUACGAGGUAAACGCAGUCUGAACUAGAUUCAUAAGAUAUGCCAUUCCAUAGAUAUUAAAUACAGUUAUUAAAAAUAUUUUUAUGGCUAUUGACUAUUCUAUGUCUAUAGUCUAUGGCUAUUCAUCACACUCCAUUAAAGUUUCUGAUGACCAGUUCGGCUGCUGCAGAUGCCGGUAGGACCACUAGUCUGCUGACUAUUGUUCCCUGCUAUACUCUCAUGAAGAUGUGCCCAUUUUUUAUGUAUACUACCUACAUUGCCUUAGUCCCCAGGAAACCUACUUAGACACCAGGAAACAUACUGCAAAAAAGGUAGGAGUGUUUUUCCAAUCAAGGUUUUCACAAGGAAAACAAUUUUGGUCCAAAAAAAUGCCAUGUGUGUAUUUUUUUGGUUUUUUGUUUUGUUGUACAAAAAACCCCCUGUCAGUUUUCUGCCAAAGACUUUAAGAACUCCUGGAAAAAAAU
Long non-coding RNA from Hyla sarda, 1178 nucleotides. RefSeq lists it as uncharacterized. The record is from RefSeq and is a predicted model, not a curated record. The transcript has 5 exons. NCBI's taxonomy places the organism in Eukaryota, Metazoa, Chordata, Amphibia, Anura, Hylidae.